GAUGAACGCUAGCGGCAGGCCUAACACAUGCAAGUCGAGGGGUAACUAGAGUGAUAGCAAUAUUACUUUGGCUAGACCGGCGCACGGGUGCGUAACACGUAUGCAACCUACCUUAUACUGGGGAAUAACUUCGAGAAAUCGGCGCUAAUACCCAUAACAUUGCGAAGAGGCAUCUCUUUGCAAUUAAAGCUCCGGCGGUAUAAGAUGGGCAUGCGCCCAAUUAGCUAGUUGGUGAGGUAACGGCUCACCAAGGCUACGAUUGGUAGGGGUUCUGAGAGGGUGAACCCCCACACUGGUACUGAGACACGGACCAGACUCCUACGGGAGGCAGCAGUGAGGAAUAUUGCGCAAUGGACGAAAGUCUGACGCAGCCAUGCCGCGUGCAGGAUGACGGCCCUAUGGGUUGUAAACUGCUUUUGUACGGGAAUAAACCCUUCUACGUGUAGGAGGCUGAAGGUACCAUAAGAAUAAGCACCGGCUAACUCCGUGCCAGCCGCCGCAGUAA
RNAcentral lists this ribosomal RNA (505 nucleotides) under uncultured bacterium. RNAcentral describes it as "partial 16S ribosomal RNA". It matches the Rfam family "Bacterial small subunit ribosomal RNA", at positions 28 to 523 of the family's 1533-position model. The record is from RNAcentral.